UCCGAAGGGGGCUAUCGUUGCUCGGAAUUACUGGGCGUAAAGCGCACGUAGGCGGACUUUUAAGUCGGGGGUGAAAUCCUGGGGCUCAACUCCAGAACUGCCUUCGAAACUGAAAGGCUUGAGUUCGGGAGAGGUGAGUGGAACUGCGAGUGUAGCGGUGAAAUUCGUAGAUAUUCGCAGGAACACCAGUGGCGAAGGCGGCUCCCUGGCCCAAUACUGACGCUGAGGUGCGAAAGCGUGGGGAGCAAACAGG
RNAcentral lists this ribosomal RNA (253 nucleotides) under uncultured bacterium. RNAcentral's name for it is "partial 16S ribosomal RNA". It matches the Rfam family "Bacterial small subunit ribosomal RNA", at positions 524 to 776 of the family's 1533-position model. The record is from RNAcentral.